Molecule: small RNA, 78 nt
Filed under: Microcebus murinus (gray mouse lemur)
Lineage: Eukaryota; Metazoa; Chordata; Mammalia; Primates; Cheirogaleidae
Description: Y RNA (ENSMICG00000047276.1)
Source: RNAcentral
GACGGGUAUGGAGGUAGCGAAGAAAAGCUACUCACUGGAUUCUUCUCUACUCCCACUGCUUCACCUGACUCACCUUAA